GAUGAACGCUGGCGGCGUGCUUAACACAUGCAAGUCGAACGGUGAAGCCAAGCUUGCUUGGUGGAUCAGUGGCGAACGGGUGAGUAACACGUGAGCAACCUGCCCUGGACUCUGGGAUAAGCGCUGGAAACGGCGUCUAAUACUGGAUAUGAGCCUCUUCCGCAUGGUGGGGGUUGGAAAGAUUUUUUGGUCUGGGAUGGGCUCGCGGCCUAUCAGCUUGUUGGUGAGGUAAUGGCUCACCAAGGCGUCGACGGGUAGCCGGCCUGAGAGGGUGACCGGUCACACUGGGACUGAGACACGGCCCAGACUCCUACGGGAGGCAGCAGUGGGGAAUAUUGCACAAUGGGCGAAAGCCUGAUGCAGCAACGCCGCGUGAGGGAUGACGGCCUUCGGGUUGUAAACCUCUUUUAGCAGGGAAGAAGCGAAAGUGACGGUACCUGCAGAAAAAGCGCCGGCUAACUACGUG
Molecule: ribosomal RNA, 466 nt
Filed under: uncultured bacterium
Lineage: Bacteria
Description: partial 16S ribosomal RNA
Rfam family: Bacterial small subunit ribosomal RNA
Source: RNAcentral